GAUGAACGCUGGCGGCGUGCUUAACACAUGCAAGUCGAACGGAAAGGCUCCUGCUUGCAGGGGUACUCGAGUGGCGAACGGGUGAGUAACACGUGGGUGAUCUGCCCUGCACUUCGGGAUAAGCCUGGGAAACUGGGUCUAAUACCGGAUAGGACGAUGGUUUGGAUGCCAUUGUGGAAAGUUUUUCGGUGUGGGUUGAGCUCGCGGCCUAUCAGCUUGUUGGUGGGGUAAUGGCCUAUCAAGGCGUCGACGGGUAGCCGGCCUGAGAGGGUGUACGGCCACAUUGGGACUGAGGUACGGCCCAGACUCCUACGGGAGGCAGCGGGGGGGAAUAUUGCACAAUGGGAGCAAGCCUGAUGCAGCGACGCCGCGUGGGGGAUGACGGCCUUCGGGUUUUAAACUCCUUUCGCUAGGGACGAAGCGCAAGUGACGGUACCUGGAGAAGAAGCACCGGCUAACUACGUG
This 465-nucleotide ribosomal RNA is filed under the name uncultured bacterium. RNAcentral's name for it is "partial 16S ribosomal RNA". It matches the Rfam family "Bacterial small subunit ribosomal RNA", at positions 28 to 507 of the family's 1533-position model. The record is from RNAcentral.